Molecule: ribosomal RNA, 729 nt
Filed under: uncultured eukaryote
Lineage: Eukaryota
Description: SSU rRNA
Rfam family: Eukaryotic small subunit ribosomal RNA
Source: RNAcentral
CGGGUGCACUGAUCCGGCCGGGCCUUUCCCUCUGUGGAACCCCAUGGCCUUCACUGGCUGUGCGGGGGAAACAGGACUUUUACUGUGAAAAAAUUAGAGUGCUCCAGGCAGGCCUAUGCUCGAAUACAUUAGCAUGGAAUAAUAGAAUAGGACGCGUGGUUCUAUUUUGUUGGUUUCUAGGACCGCCGUAAUGAUUAAUAGGGACAGUCGGGGGCAUCAGUAUUCAAUUGUCAGAGGUGAAAUUCUUGGAUCUAUUGAAGACUAACUACUGCGAAAGCAUUUGCCAAGGAUGCUUUCAUUGAUAAGGAACGAAAGUUAGGGGAUCGAAGACGAUCAGAUACCGUCGUAGUCUUAACUAUAAACUAUGCCGACUAGGGAUCGGACGAUGUUAUUUCUUGACGCGUUCGGCACCUUUCGAGAAAUCAAAGUGCUUGGGCUCCAGGGGGAGUAUGGUCGCAAGGCUGAAACUUAAAGAAAUUGACGGAAGGGCACCACCAGGGGUGGAACCUGCGGCUUAAUUUGACUCAACACGGGGAAACUCACCAGGUCCAGACACAGUGAGGAUUGACAGAUUGAGAGCUCUUUCUUGAUUCUGUGGGUGGUGGUGCAUGGCCGUUCUUAGUUGGUGGAGUGAUUUGUCUGCUUAAUUGCGAUAACGAACGAGACCUUAACCUGCUAAAUAGCCCGUACUGCUCUGGCAGUUCGCCGGCUUCUUAGAGGGACUAUCGG